UACGUAGGGGGCGAGCGUUGUCCGGAUUUAUUGGGCGUAAAGAGCUUGUAGGCGGUCUGUCGCGUCUGCUGUGAAAAUCCGGGGCUCAACCCCGGACUUGCAGUGGGUACGGGCAGACUAGAGUGUGGUAGGGGAGACUGGAAUUCCUGGUGUAGCGGUGAAAUGCGCAGAUAUCAGGAGGAACACCGAUGGCGAAGGCAGGUCUCUGGGCCACUACUGACGCUGAGAAGCGAAAGCAUGGGGAGCGAACAGG
Molecule: ribosomal RNA, 253 nt
Filed under: uncultured bacterium
Lineage: Bacteria
Description: partial 16S ribosomal RNA
Rfam family: Bacterial small subunit ribosomal RNA
Source: RNAcentral